GAGAGCUACUGUCCUCUGAAUGCAAUCUUUUGUGCCACAGGAGCCAGAUGGGGCAAGGCAAAGUAGAGCCUGAGAUCACAGUGAUCAUUUGAUGCAUAAUAAAGACUCAUCCUGGAAGAAAGCUCAGCUAAUUUCUCAAAAACACAAGGAACCAGGUGAAAGAGGAGCAAAGCUCUGAAGAAGUGAAAUCCUUAAUCAAUGCAGUAUUUUCAAAGGAGAGUUGUAACACAGAAGGAACUGGAAAUUUGCCAACAAAGGAGGCAUCUGAAAGAGAAGAUAAAUAUUUAGCCAUUGAGAUCUGUUAAAGUACAAAACAUCAUCUAUUAUUCAGAUUCAAAAUUAUGUUAUUUAAAUAUUGUCACAGCUGUCAUACAAACAGGACUAUGAAAGCAAAUUACAAGUACAGGGCUAUGACAAGAGGAAAAUUAUUCCUGGUCAGAAACAGGAUCUCUUUACUCUGAUGAGGUCAAAAGCAGUUUAGCUGAAGAGGGAACAGAAUCAUUUUCAGCACUGUUAGAAAAAGCACAUGGACAAGGAGUUGGUUCAACAUAAUGUCAGGAUUUCUUUGCCAGCUCUGGAAAGUGUUUUGCCUUGUCUUGAAGAACUAUUUCAUUUCCUCCCAAAAUGCAAGAGCUUCAGAAACCGUCAAGCAUCUUAAGAAGGUACACAAAACUUAAAGCUGACACUCAAGUACCAAGAGAACUGUACGCAACAGCAAGGGCAACUGGAAGUCAUGUAGAGUGCCUCUCAGUCUAUAAUUGCCAAAGGAGUGCUGCCACUGAACAGAUACAUUAUUGGAGCAAGGAGGAGCCCAGGGAGAGGCGAAGAGAGCAAGAAAAAUCUGACAAGCAGAGGAACAACGAGAACAGACAAGGAGAAAAACCUGUCAGUGGAAACCUAAUCCAACUCCAAGGAAUAUACAGCACUGCUCAAAGCAGAAUCUACAUGAUGACAAGGUCAUUUUCAUCUCAUCAGCUAUGAAGCGCAGCCUGGCACCUUCCUCCCCCAUCUCUUUCCCCACAGAGAUACAGAAGGAGAGAAUGAGUUGAAUGACAGGUGAUCAAGGUGCUGCGCUGAGUAAACAGCUGCUGGCAAUGCAAGGUUUAAAGAGCUGACAGGGUAUCUAGGAAACUUCACGGAAACAACAAAUUCUCUUCCUCACGGCCACACCCCAGUGCAAUCUUUACAAAAUAGAGUUUAGCUGGUCUUGUGUAGACUCCAAAUACCUUCCAGGAACACAGCUGGCAUUUCCAAAGGGGGUCAAGAUCACAAACUACAUGCGUCCUCAGCAAACGACCAGGAGCUGGAGGGCCAGAUGGACUGCUGAAGUAUGUGGACACACAAGGCACCUUGGGAGCCCCCAGUCUGUCUUCUGACCAUCAUUCAAAACACCUUUGAUUUUGCCAUAACUUGUCCCAACUGCUACUGCUCAUUUAUCAGUUAUUUCCAAUUUCAAUCCACUUCUGAAAGGAGUCAUUUCUUCAUUAUAGGUGCUUUUAUUAAUCCUUCUGACCUUUUGCAUUGCUCCCUAAAGGAGCGUUGGCAGUGUAGGACUCAUUGCAGUGUAACUGGACCCAUGAAAUAUCCUUCUAUGUAGAGAUGAUUAUUCUCUAGAACAGUGACAUGGCUUCAGAAUGACAGAGUAUAGGUGAAGCAGAACAGAUUGGAGAAACGUAAAGUACUGUGUAAGUGUAGGAUAGGACUUUGCUCAUGGUAAAUUUAAAAAUAUUGGUUUGAAAAAGGGAGAUACAAUGAUCAUACAUACCUAGGAAGAUCUUAUCCCUAAAUGGGUCUGUGUCAUCUUCACUGAAUUCAUCCUGCUACUAGGGAAGGGAAUUAGCUUUUAUUAUUGAGUUUACUGUUUGUCUCCCUCAUUCAGUAUUGCACUGAUCUUUUAAGUUACCGGAUGUGCUCAUAUGUCUGCCUUGUUCAAGAGAAGUUGCUAUUAAAAACCAAUGGACAGCCCAUUUUGUUCCAAGUCCUCCUAUUAGGUGUGUUUCAGUCACUAGUGGUAAAGUAACACUGUUGGGAUUGCCCAGUCCUAGUGACAAGGACGUGU
This 2059-nucleotide long non-coding RNA is filed under the name Gallus gallus (chicken). RNAcentral describes it as "lncRNA (ENSGALG00010015812.1)". The record is from RNAcentral. Lineage: Eukaryota; Metazoa; Chordata; Aves; Galliformes; Phasianidae.